CGGAACGGGUGAGUAAUGCGUGACCAACCUGCCCCAUGCUCCAGAAUAGCUCUUGGAAACGGGUGGUAAUGCUGGAUGCUCCAACUUGACGCAUGUCUUGUUGGGAAAGUGUUAGUGGCAUGGGAUGGGGUCGCGUCCUAUCAGCUUGUAGGCGGGGUAAUGGCCCACCUAGGCUUCGACGGGUAGCCGGCCUGAGAGGGCGGACGGCCACAUUGGGACUGAGAUACGGCCCAGACUCCUACGGGAGGCAGCAGGC
Molecule: ribosomal RNA, 256 nt
Filed under: uncultured Gardnerella sp.
Lineage: Bacteria; Bacillati; Actinomycetota; Actinomycetes; Bifidobacteriales; Bifidobacteriaceae
Description: partial 16S ribosomal RNA
Rfam family: Bacterial small subunit ribosomal RNA
Source: RNAcentral